GACCUAUCAUGGAGGAGCAGGGAUGAUGAUGUAGCUGACCUAUCAUGGAGGAGCAGGGAUGAUGAUGUAGCUGACCUAUCAUGGAGGAGCAGGAUGAUGAUGUAGCUGACCUAUCAUGGAGGAGCAGGAUGAUGUAGCUGACCUAUCAUGGAGGAGCAGGGGUGAUGAUGUAGCUGACCUAUCAUGGAGGAGCAGGAUGAUGUAGCUGACCUAUCAUGGAGGAGCAGGAGUGAUGAUGUAGCUGACCUAUCAUGGAGGAGCAGGGGUGAUUAUGUAGCUGACCUAUCAUGGAGGAGCAGGGCGAUGAUGUAGCUGACCUAUAAUGGAGGUGCAGGGGUGAUGAUGUAGCUGACCUAUCAUGGAGGAGCAGAAUGAUGUAGCUUACCUAUCAUGGAGGAGCAGGGAGAUGAUGUAGCUGACCUAUAAUGGAGGAGCAGGGGUGAUGAUGUAGCUGACCUAUCAUGGAGGAGCAGGGGUGAUGAUGUAGCUGACCUAUCAUGGAGGAGCAGGGGUGAUGAUGUAG
Molecule: long non-coding RNA, 523 nt
Filed under: Salmo salar (Atlantic salmon)
Lineage: Eukaryota; Metazoa; Chordata; Actinopteri; Salmoniformes; Salmonidae
Description: lncRNA (ENSSSAG00000114320.1)
Source: RNAcentral